This 252-nucleotide ribosomal RNA is filed under the name uncultured bacterium. RNAcentral's name for it is "partial 16S ribosomal RNA". It matches the Rfam family "Bacterial small subunit ribosomal RNA", at positions 524 to 776 of the family's 1533-position model. The record is from RNAcentral.
UACGGAGGAUGCGAGCGUUAUCCGGAUUUAUUGGGUUUAAAGGGUGCGUAGGCGGGAUGCCAAGUCAGCGGUAAAAAUGCGGUGCUCAACGCCGACGAGCCGUUGAAACUGGCGUUCUUGAGUGGGCGAGAAGUAUGCGGAAUGCGUGGUGUAGCGGUGAAAUGCAUAGAUAUCACGCAGAACUCCGAUUGCGAAGGCAGCAUACCGGCGCCCUACUGACGCUGAGGCACGAAAGCGUGGGUAUCGAACAGG